AAACCAGCACCUCAAGUGGUCAGGAUGAUUAUUGGGCCUAAAGCAUCCGUAGCCUGCUUUGUCAGUUUUCGGUUAAAUCCAUACGCUCAACGUAUGGGCCGCCGGAAAUACUGCAAAGCUAGGGAGUGGGAGAGGUAGACGGUACUCGGGAGGAAGGGGUAAAAUCCUUUGAUCUCUCGAUGACCACCUGUGGCGAAGGCGGUCUACCAGAACACGUCCGACGGUGAGGGAUGAAAGCUGGGGGAGCAAACCGGAUUAGAAACCCGAGUAGUCC
This 274-nucleotide ribosomal RNA is filed under the name uncultured bacterium. Its description in RNAcentral is "partial 16S ribosomal RNA". It matches the Rfam family "Archaeal small subunit ribosomal RNA", at positions 473 to 747 of the family's 1478-position model. The record is from RNAcentral.